Molecule: long non-coding RNA, 370 nt
Organism: Ceratina calcarata
Lineage: Eukaryota; Metazoa; Arthropoda; Insecta; Hymenoptera; Apidae
Exons: 2
Source: RefSeq, a predicted model, not a curated record
GUAACUGUUGAUGGAUGCUAAAGCUAACCUCGAAGUUAGUUAUUUAGCAUAUAAAGAUAGUAGUGACACUGACGCACUGGCCAGUAGCCACGUGCCGAAACCCUAUCAUUCACAGAUUUGGCUGAAUGGAUUGCUGAUAAACUUCUAUUGUGUCUUCUUCUUCCACUUUAAGAGUUUUCGAUAACGAUAAACGAAAUAGAUAAGAACAAGGAGGAAAUGAGAGUGCUCACGGCGGUCGGCAGUCCUAUCUAUGGCUACCGUGCUUUGCGAAUAUCGUGGAAAGUGGAAAAAUAAGUGAACUACGCGUCAAUAUACAAAGUAAUAAUUUAUUUAAAAAAUUGUAUUUUAAAUAAAAAGUCUUUGAAAAGUU